GUGCCAGCAGCCGCGGUAAUACGUAGGGUGCAAGCGUUAUCCGGGAAUUAUUGGGCGUAAAGAGCUCGUAGGCGGUUUGUCGCGUCUGUCGUGAAAGUCCGGGGCUCAACUCCGGAUCUGCGGUGGGUACGGGCAGACUAGAGUGAUGUAGGGGAGACUGGAAUUCCUGGUGUAGCGGUGGAAUGCGCAGAUAUCAGGAGGAACACCGAUGGCGAAGGCAGGUCUCUGGGCAUUAACUGACGCUGAGGAGCGAAAGCAUGGGGAGCGAACAGGAUUAGAUACCCUGGUAGUCCAUGCCGUAAACGUUGGGCACUAGGUGUGGGGGACAUUCCACGUUUUCCGCGCCGUAGCUAACGCAUUAAGUGCCCCGCCUGGGGAGUACGGCCGCAAGGCUAAAACUCAAAGAAAUUGACGGGGGCCCGCACAAGCGGCGGAGCAUGCGGAUUAAUUCGAUGCAACGCGAAGAACCUUACCAAGGCUUGACAUGAACCGGAAAGGCGUAGAAAUACGUCCCCCACUUGUGGUCGGUUUACAGGUGGUGCAUGGUUGUCGUCAGCUCGUGUUGUGAGAUGUUGGGUUAAGUCCCGCAACGAGCGCAACCCUCGUUCUAUGUUGCCAGCACGUGAUGGUGGGGACUCAUAGGAGACUGCCGGGGUCAACUCGGAGGAAGGUGGGGAUGACGUCAAAUCAUCAUGCCCCUUAUGUCUUGGGCUUCACGCAUGCUACAAUGGCCGGUACAAAGGGUUGCGAUACUGUGAGGUGGAGCUAAUCCCAAAAAGCCGGUCUCAGUUCGGAUUGGGGUCUGCAACUCGACCCCAUGAAGUCGGAGUCGCUAGUAAUCGCAGAUCAGCAACGCUGCGGUGAAUACGUUCCCGGGCCUUGUACACACCGCCCGUC
Molecule: ribosomal RNA, 897 nt
Filed under: Arthrobacter sp. 04-287
Lineage: Bacteria; Bacillati; Actinomycetota; Actinomycetes; Micrococcales; Micrococcaceae
Description: bacterial SSU rRNA
Rfam family: Bacterial small subunit ribosomal RNA
Source: RNAcentral